RNAcentral lists this ribosomal RNA (239 nucleotides) under uncultured Lactobacillus sp. Its description in RNAcentral is "partial 16S ribosomal RNA". It matches the Rfam family "Bacterial small subunit ribosomal RNA", at positions 125 to 354 of the family's 1533-position model. Lineage: Bacteria; Bacillati; Bacillota; Bacilli; Lactobacillales; Lactobacillaceae. The record is from RNAcentral.
CCGUAGCCCAAGAGAUCGGGAUAACACCUGGAAACAGAUGCUAAUACCGGAUAACAACAGAUGAUGCCUAUCAACUGUUUAAAAGAUGGUUCUGCUAUCACUCUUGGAUGGACCUGCGGUGCAUUAGCUAGUUGGUAGGGUAACGGCCUGCCAAGGCGAUGAUGCAUAGCCGAGUUGAGAGACUGAUCGGCCACAUUGGGACUGAGACACGGCCCAAACUCCUACGGGAGGCAGCAGGC